Non-coding RNA from Drosophila melanogaster (fruit fly), 1231 nucleotides. NCBI's taxonomy places the organism in Eukaryota, Metazoa, Arthropoda, Insecta, Diptera, Drosophilidae. The record is from Ensembl.
AGUCUGUGAGCAACUGCGUGACCUGCACGACGAACGAGGAACGAUCCUCGGCUUCUUGCUUCAGUGAUUGAAAUACGUGAACAGUGUGGUCAAUCAGUGAUGGCUGGAAAGUGUGUGAAGAAAAUUGUAUGGACACAUAGCAAGAUGGUGACUUGAAUACUUGAGACUUGAUCGGGGUGAUAGCGGAUGCUGGGAAGGAGAUCUGAAGAAGAUCUGGACAAGACCGGCUGGCACCUAGUCAUGGAUUGCGAAGGCGGCGGCGCAGGAGCAGCAGCAGCAGCAGGAGCAGGAGCAGCGGCUUCAGGAGUUGGAGGUUGUCGAUGGCCAAGUGGCCAAGUACCAAGUACCCAGCGACUUGGAUCGCCAGAAGUUGCCGACUCACAAUGUGUGUGCGCAAAGGCUUUAAGAAAUGCCGAAUUCCAGAAGCUGCAGUACAAUCAGUUGAAUUAAAAAACGAGCGCACAGACAGAGGACGACGUCUGGAUGGGAUUCGGAUUGGGGACUGGGGUUGUGGCUGUGGAUUGGGAUGGGGAUGGGAAUGGGGAGACGGGGAGACGGGGUCCCUCCAGUGGAUCGCCGGCGAUAUCAUCGCGUGGUGAGCGCGGGCUAGGAAAUUAAGAGGACAUUGUGGCGGCAUGCGGUUAGAACUCGCAGCGGCGGCUUAAACACAAAAUCCGCGGAGGAGAUUCCUUGCGUGGCUGCGUUGUUGGUGGCUUUCGGACAGCUGGACGCUGCCUGACAGAGGUCGCCCUCGUACGUAAUCGACGAGCAUUGCAAAUGCUUGUGUCCUCCGCCUGCGUCUUGUGCUGCGCACGUGGCCAUGUUACAGGCGCAGCAGCAGCAGCAGCCGCAGCAACAGCAACUGCAGCCAGAGCCAAGCAGCAAAUCAUUGAAAUGUCGUUAGAGGCUCGAGCGGCACGCAGCGUCGAUAGUCAGCGAAACCGCAAAAUGCUUUUAAUUUCUCAAACUGAUAUGCACCCGUGCUCCCACCGCCGAGGAGGAAGCCGGGGCCAGAGGUUUGGUCUUUGUUUCUGCCUCGGGUUUUCUAUUCCAGCUAAUUCGGUAGAAAACGUAAUGAUGAGGAACUGGGGGUAGAGUUCACAGCACUAGAUUUGCCAGGGAAAGAUGACAAAGACAAGGUGUUCAGUACAGUACUAAAAGAUAGUCAUUGCCAAGCUACAGUAAUUUCAUUCGGCUAUUAGUACAUACACACAUGCAACAAUCAUUUAAA